UUGGAGGCGGAGAGUGAAAAUGGCGGCCUCCCAAUCUCCGCCCCAGAGGAGCCGAGAACUCGGGCCCGCUCCUCAGUGAGCCCCCAGAGAAAAGCCGUCAGUCACUCCCGUCUCCCCGGUCUGCAGCUGCACUCCGUGCUCAACCGGCCUGUGACCACGCGUUUCUAUCUCUGGCACCGGACCCGGUCUGGAGUCUCCAAACCCAGCAGAUCCCUGCGGUGCACUCCCGCGCGGCUCCUCCCGGGGGAGGAAGGUGAGUCUCCCCGGAUCGGCCGCUUGUUGGGUCCCUGCUGGAGGAGCAGGGGCCCGACUGGGCCGCGGAUCGAGGUUAAUGGCAACCCCAGCUGAGAGCCCGCGCCUGGGCUCCGCCUCUGCAGCCGGCUUCCCUGCUGCGUUACCUGGGAGCUCUGCUGCCCUCAGGCACCCCCGGUCUUUCUGUGACCCCGAGGGUCCUGAGACCACACUGUCCCGGAGGGUUCCACCCCCCGCUGAGCCACCAGAGUGACGUCCCUCGGCGGAGCAGACUUUCAAAAGUUCCGAUUUUGUGCUCCGCGGCUCUAUCACUCGCCAGAAGCGGCCGACGGAGGCCCCUCCCCCGCCGUCUAUCCUCCCGAAUAUCGCCUCGGAUUCACUUCUCCGCACGUCCUACCUUCCAGAAAGUGGUCGCUUUUCUGCUGAGACAGCAUUCUUGUCUUUAAAUACAGUGCAUAUUUUCAGGAGAGAGAUACAUGUCACAGACACAUGCACAAGAGCACGGUCUGAAUGCUCUGGAAGGACCUGGACAGCACUCUACUUGCUAUUUGCUUUCUCACCUUCUUCAGGGAGUUCACAUCACAUCUCGAUGCAUUUGGGAAACGGAGCAAGGCCUGCUGUGUCUCUGACAAAUCUUCACUUGCCCAUGGACGGCUCCAUGUCAAAUUCUUACAAGACUUCAAACUCAACGUGUGCAACAUGAUCUCCACAGUACCCCUUUCCGACUAUAAUAUUUUUGUUACUUUUAUACUAUUUUGUCACUUUUGUUAAUGAUAAAACCUUCUGCCCG
Long non-coding RNA from Mirounga angustirostris (Northern elephant seal), 1042 nucleotides. RefSeq lists it as uncharacterized. NCBI's taxonomy places the organism in Eukaryota, Metazoa, Chordata, Mammalia, Carnivora, Phocidae. The record is from RefSeq and is a predicted model, not a curated record. The transcript has 2 exons.